Molecule: non-coding RNA, 72 nt
Organism: Desmophyllum pertusum
Lineage: Eukaryota; Metazoa; Cnidaria; Anthozoa; Scleractinia; Caryophylliidae
Source: the annotation of a GenBank genome assembly
GGCGUGGUGGCCUAAUGGUUAGCGCGAUGGACUCCGGAUCGAGCACUCUGUGUUCAAACCCUGGCUGGGUCA